Drosophila suzukii is the source of this 303-nucleotide non-coding RNA. NCBI's taxonomy places the organism in Eukaryota, Metazoa, Arthropoda, Insecta, Diptera, Drosophilidae. The record is from RefSeq and is a predicted model, not a curated record.
AUCGAUGUUUUCAUCGAUGUUUUGACACCUCUACCCCAAGCACCCUUUUCGCAAAGUGACUUAGGUGGUCGAUGGCCGGCAAUCCGGUUGAGCGAGGUAGAGGAAAUGUUUUAAGUUGUUGCGAAAUGUUAAAUGUUCAAGCCCCCAAAAUAAAUUAUUACAUAUUUACAUAAGUCAAUAUAAUAAUUUCAUAACAGGUUUAAAAAAAUGAAAUAAUUUCAUUCGUACUCCGAUGUAGUGCCAUUAUUAUUUUACAAAGUCAAAUAAACAGAACACAUAAAAUAUGAAAUAAUAUAAAUAAAA